AGGUGGGCGCCUGAUUGCAAAAACUUGAAAUGUAUUCCCUCGUUAUCCAGGUGGACGCCUGAUACUGCAACAAAACAGACAAAACAAAAGAAACUUUUUCUUCCCCGGUUUGGGAUCUGGGCAUAUUUCUAAGUGUUAAUCGGACCAUAUCACCUACAGAACUAUAAGAAUUUAAAAGCUAAACCCAUUAUCCAAGAGGAUCCUGAGAAUUUUAAAAUCCUGAAUCCCAUUAUCCAGGAGGGUCCUGAAAAUUUUAAAAAC
Molecule: long non-coding RNA, 261 nt
Filed under: Nicotiana benthamiana
Lineage: Eukaryota; Viridiplantae; Streptophyta; Magnoliopsida; Solanales; Solanaceae
Description: long non-coding RNA (NBEN_LNC001546)
Source: RNAcentral